This 672-nucleotide ribosomal RNA is filed under the name Mucor circinelloides. Its description in RNAcentral is "LSU rRNA". It matches the Rfam family "Eukaryotic large subunit ribosomal RNA", at positions 75 to 658 of the family's 3401-position model. The record is from RNAcentral. Lineage: Eukaryota; Fungi; Mucoromycota; Mucoromycetes; Mucorales; Mucoraceae.
UUCCUAGUACGGCGAGUGAAGAGGAAGAGCUCAAAGUUGGAAACUGUUUGGCUUAGCUAAACCGUAUUGUAAACUGUAGAAACAUUUUCCUGGCACGCCGGAUUAAUAAGUCCUUUGGAACAAGGCAUCAUGGAGGGUGAGAAUCCCGUCUUUGAUCCGAGUAGUUGUCUUUUGUGAUAUGUUUUCAAAGAGUCAGGUUGUUUGGGAAUGCAGCCUAAAUUGGGUGGUAAAUCUCACCUAAAGCUAAAUAUUUGCGAGAGACCGAUAGCGAACAAGUACCGUGAGGGAAAGAUGAAAAGAACUUUGAAAAGAGAGUUAAACAGUAUGUGAAAUUGUUAAAAGGGAACCGUUUGGAGCCAGACUGGUUUGACUGUAAUCAACCUAGAAUUCGUUCUGGGUGCACUUGCAGUCUAUACCUGCCAACAACAGUUUGAUUUGGAGGAAAAAAUUAGUAGGAAUGUAGCCUCUCGAGGUGUUAUAGCCUACUAUCAUACUCUGGAUUGGACUGAGGAACGCAGCGAAUGCCUUUAGGCGAGAUUGCUGGGUGCUUUCGCUAAUAAAUGUUAGAAUUUCUGCUUCGGGUGGUGCUAAUGUUUAAAGGAGGAACACAUCUAGUAUAUUUUUUAUUCGCUUAGGUUGUUGGCUUAAUGACUCUAAAUGACCCGUCUUGAA